UUAGCGAGGGAGCAUAUACGAUUGAGUCAGCAUUAACAACUUGCCAGAGAAUCUCAUGUUCCGGAAACAAUUGUUUUUAAGGAAACAAUUGUACACCCAAAUUUCUCAUAUGGUCAUACAAGCAGUGUAAGGGGAAAAAAUGGGACAAUGUGGAUUGUCCUUUCUAAACAAUUCUGCCUAAUUCCUACUUUUUUUUUAAUGGAAUUCUUCAUCCAUGGUCAUUCAACUCUCUCUCGCGCGCACACACAGGCACAUACAGACGCUCUUGUCUCUGGUUUAUACUGCCUCUCUCACGCAUUUUCACGUGUUAACUAACAGCCGGCCACCUUCAUUCCCUCCAGUCUGAUCCAGCCCUCUUCCUGCAAUAUUCACUGUAGGUUCUCUCGGCCCAAGUGCGCCGGAUAAUAUGCUACCUGACCUGCAGGGCAUCCCCAGCAUUUUCUAUUUGGUUUGUCCCUGAAAAGGUGCAGGGUCUAAUAUUCCACUGUUUCCAAAGGGAAUU
Mobula hypostoma (lesser devil ray) is the source of this 502-nucleotide long non-coding RNA. RefSeq lists it as uncharacterized. The transcript is spliced from 3 exons. Lineage: Eukaryota; Metazoa; Chordata; Chondrichthyes; Myliobatiformes; Myliobatidae. The record is from RefSeq and is a predicted model, not a curated record.